CAGUCGCCGCGGUAAUACGGAGGGUGCAAGCGUUAAUCGGAGUUACUGGGCGUAAAGCGUGCGUAGGCGGUUCGUUAAGUCUGUUGUGAAAGCCCCGGGCUCAACCUGGGAAUGGCAAUGGAUACUGGCGAGCUAGAGUGUGUCAGAGGAUGGUGGAAUUCCCGGUGUAGCGGUGAAAUGCGUAGAGAUCGGGAGGAACAUCAGUGGCGAAGGCGGCCAUCUGGGCCAAUACUGACGCUCAUGCACGAAAGCGUGGGGAGCAAACAGGAUUAGAUACCCCCGUAGUCCCUGUCUCUUAUAC
Molecule: ribosomal RNA, 301 nt
Filed under: uncultured bacterium
Lineage: Bacteria
Description: partial 16S ribosomal RNA
Rfam family: Bacterial small subunit ribosomal RNA
Source: RNAcentral